Molecule: ribosomal RNA, 429 nt
Filed under: uncultured bacterium
Lineage: Bacteria
Description: bacterial SSU rRNA
Rfam family: Bacterial small subunit ribosomal RNA
Source: RNAcentral
UGGGGAAUUUUCCGCAAUGGGCGAAAGCCUGACGGAGUGACGCCGCGUGGGGGACGAAGGCCUUCGGGUCGUAAACCCCUGUCAGAGGGAAAGAAGGGUUGCCGACCUAACACGUCGGUGAUCUGACGGUACCUUCAGAGGAAGCCCCGGCCAACUCUGUGCCAGCAGCCGCGGUAAGACAGAGGGGGCAAGCGUUGCUCGGAAUCACUGGGCGUAAAGGGCGCGUAGGCGGGAUGGCAAGUCGGUCGUGAAAUCCUUCGGCCCAACCGAAGAACGUCGGCCGAUACUGCCGUUCUUGAGGGAUGCAGAGGAGACUGGAAUUCCCGGUGUAGCGGUGAAAUGUGUAGAGAUCGGGAGGAACACCGGUGGCGAAGGCGGGUCUCUGGGCAUUUCCUGACGCUGAGGCGCGAAAGCGUGGGGAGCAAACGG